RNAcentral lists this ribosomal RNA (450 nucleotides) under uncultured bacterium. RNAcentral describes it as "partial 16S ribosomal RNA". It matches the Rfam family "Bacterial small subunit ribosomal RNA", at positions 354 to 796 of the family's 1533-position model. The record is from RNAcentral.
GUUAGGAAUAUUGGACAAUGGGCGAAAGCCUGAUCCAGCCAUGCCGCGUGCAGGAUGAAGGCCUUCGGGUUGUAAACUGCUUUUGUACGGAACGAAAAGACUCCUUCUAAUAAAGGGGGUCCAUGACGGUACCGUAAGAAUAAGCACCGGCUAACUACGUGCCAGCAGCCGCGGUAAUACGUAGGGUGCAAGCGUUAAUCGGAAUUACUGGGCGUAAAGCGUGCGCAGGCGGUUAUAUAAGACAGAUGUGAAAUCCCCGGGCUCAACCUGGGAACUGCAUUUGUGACUGUAUAGCUAGAGUACGGUAGAGGGGGAUGGAAUUCCGCGUGUAGCAGUGAAAUGCGUAGAUAUGCGGAGGAACACCGAUGGCGAAGGCAAUCCCCUGGACCUGUACUGACGCUCAUGCACGAAAGCGUGGGGAGCAAACAGGAUUAGAAACCCCGGUAGUCC